This 103-nucleotide non-coding RNA is filed under the name Enterovibrio coralii. Its description in RNAcentral is "TPP sequence". It matches the Rfam family "TPP riboswitch aptamer (THI element)". From Rfam's summary of the family: Vitamin B(1) in its active form thiamin pyrophosphate (TPP) is an essential coenzyme that is synthesised by coupling of pyrimidine and thiazole moieties in bacteria. The previously detected thiamin-regulatory element, thi box was extended, resulting in a new, highly conserved RNA secondary structure, the THI element, which is widely distributed in eubacteria and also occurs in some archaea. Lineage: Bacteria; Pseudomonadati; Pseudomonadota; Gammaproteobacteria; Vibrionales; Vibrionaceae. The record is from Rfam by way of RNAcentral.
UGUCAUCUCGUGGGGUGCUGACAUCGUCGGCUGAGAAUGCGAACGCUAAACCCAUAAACCUGAUCCAGAUAAUGCUGGCGUAGGAAUGAGAUGUCUCAGAUCC